UACGUAGGGGCAAGCGUUGUCCGGAAUUAUUGGGCGUAAAGCGCGCGCAGGCGGUCAUUUAAGUCUGGUGUUUAAUCCCGGGGCUCAACCCCGGACUGCACUGGAAACGUAGGGUGGACUUGAGUGCAGAAGAGGAGAGUGGGAUUCCACGUGUAGCGGUGAAAUAGCGUAGAGAUGUGGAGGAACACCAGUGGCGAAGGCGACUCUCUGGGCUGUAACUGACGCUGAGGCGCG
Molecule: ribosomal RNA, 234 nt
Filed under: uncultured bacterium
Lineage: Bacteria
Description: partial 16S ribosomal RNA
Rfam family: Bacterial small subunit ribosomal RNA
Source: RNAcentral